Molecule: long non-coding RNA, 4905 nt
Filed under: Hordeum vulgare
Lineage: Eukaryota; Viridiplantae; Streptophyta; Magnoliopsida; Poales; Poaceae
Description: long non-coding RNA (HVUL_LNC016119)
Source: RNAcentral
CAUACAAACUUUAUUUAGAGAGCUCAGACAAGCCAGACACAUAGUAUUACAAAGAUAGGGGUCUCACGACCCAUCAUCACAAGUCAUACAAACAAGUCUUACAAGCCAGCGGAAGAUUAAAACUGUCUGAGUACAGACAGAUGGAAAGGUAAAAGGCACAUGGCCUGACUAUCUACAGACCCAACCUAGGGCUAGAUCAUAGCUGGGACACCAGCUACUCGUCAUCGUCAACGUCUAGAUAGUACCCCCCAUUAGGGUCGUUAACAACAUCUGCAACAAUUUAUUAAGAAAACGUGAGUACAAAAGUACUCAGCAAGACUUUAGGAUAAUCUAUAUACUCAUGCAAUGUAUCAACAAGGAGUUGUGGGGUUUCAUGCAGAAAGCCAGCAUUUGACUCUUGGCUAGACAACUUACAUUUUCAAAUAACUUUGACAACUUUGAUUUCUCGCACACGAGUCCACUAACACCACAACAAUACUCCAUCAUGGAAUCAUUCCGUCACCCCACGUAAAUACCAUCCACGACACUCACACUUAUCUUGACAAUUUUUUGAGUAGCCAUUAUAGUUAUCUAUGAACAACAUAUGUUUCCAAGUAGUCCAUAUCCGCGGACGCGGCUAUUUGAAUAUAUCAUAAACCUGCAGGAGUGUACUCCUUCACACACGCUCUCGCCACUUAUCGCUAUGUGCACGUCAUGCACCUCAGCAACCUUCAAGCGGAAGCCCAGCGAGGGAGUCGGCCACGACCGUUAACCACUCUAAUACCUAGUCCAGGUUUAUCGCCUAUCACAGGGUAACCCGCACGGAAGUCCGGCCGAGGUUUCCGCCACGACCCCAAACGAUGUGCGCAGGGUUCCCAAGCCCACCAUCCGGGUGCCACUUGAUACACCGUGCCACUUCCUACCGCAUCAUAGUGCACCUAUAAGGUCAGCACUACGCACGGCCUCCAGCAUGACUAUAAACACCAGAAACUACUUGCAACUCCUGGACCGAGUACUAAGCGAUUAAUAAGUCGAGAGGGUCAAUUAAGUAUCCCAACGUGUGGUAGUAUCUAGUCUUGGAUUACAUACACGGAACUCAGUUCCUAAGGACGGUUCCAAUGAAACAACCCGCCAUGUACUCCUACAUAGCAUUUCACCGGCACCUUUACCAAAUCAGGUUCAACACACAACAUAUAGUAACUGAACACAUUCUCACGAUCCUGUUCAUCACCCAGAUGACAGACCAUACACAACUCUAAGCAUAACAUGCAUAGCAGGAUAAGGCACAUCAUCGCUCAAGCAUCUACCAGGUAUGCUAGGUUGCAAGGUUCAACUAUUUACUGUGACAAAGGACAGGUCAUGCAAAGGAAGUGGGUUCAACUAACGUGGUAAAAGCAUUGAAAGCAUUUUGAUCUAAUGCAAUAAGUAAGAGCAGGAGCGAGAACAUGGGAUUUAUCGGGAUGAUCAAAAUGGUUGCUUGCCUUGUUGCUCAGCAGAGGGGUGAUAUCUGUCAGUCGGAUAAUCAGAUGUAUCCGGAGGGGCGGAGCCUACCGGAAUAACAACAAUCAAUCAAUAUCAAACAUAUGCAACAAAAUGAUGCAUGAAAUGCAAUGUAGCAUGGCUUAAGAUGACUAGCAAAACCCUUUGGGAUAAUCUUGAUUUGAAAUCUUAAUUCAAAUACCAUUUGAAUUAUAAUUCAUCAAAUUCUUUUAAUUGAUUUGACCUGAUGCUGUUUCAUAACUUUGUUUUUCAUGCAAGAAAAUAGCACCAUUCGAUUCCUUGAAUUUUUCUGAUCAUUUUACAUAUAUUAUUUGUCAAAUUUGGAGUUAUAUUCAAUUUUCUAUGAAUUUCCAAAGUUUUGGACUUAUUCUGGAAUUGUUUUUAAACAGAAAAGGUUUUAUUGCAUCAGCAUGAAAUCAGCAGGUCAAUCUGGCGGCUGAAAGUCAAACUUGACCAGUGGGACCAACUAGUCAGUGACUCUGGCCAGGUUUUAGUUAAAUUUAAACUUAAUUAUGUAUUUAACAUGGCUGGACCCACAUGUCAGUGACUGUUUAGGUUUUUAAUUAAUUAUUUAUUUUAUUAACCUAAACUUAAUUAGCCAGGGGGCUGGCCCCGCAUGUCAGCUGCAUAGAGAGGCUCAGAUCCACCGACGGCGAGGUGGAACUCGCCGGCGGUGAGCUCCGGCGACCACAGGGACGGCAGAGAGCUUCAGGAAUUCAAUUCCGGCGACCAUUUGCACGGCAGAGAGCACCAAACGAACCAGCACUCAGUCGCAGUUCCAUUUUUGCAAAGAACCAAGGCUAAGAUGGCCGGAGAUGACACCGGCGUUGAGCUCGACGGCUGCCGGAGCUCGGGCUAUGUCGGGAUCGAUGAAACCAAAGGCAAAUCGAGCGGGGCUUAGCUCCUAGAGCACCUACACAACAUGCUGAAGCUUUUGGUGGCCUCAGAACGACUAGACGUUCACUGGAGAGCUACCGGCGACGAGCUCCCGCGACGGAUCUCGUCGGGCUCCGAUGGGAUCGGGUGAAAGAGGAAGGAAUCGAGGGGGAAAACUUGGGGGAAAGAUUCCUCAACUCACGAGGAGUGCAGAGGCAACGAAAGUGAGCUCGCGGAUGGCCUGAGGAGGGAUAACGAUGACGGCGAGCUCCGGUGACCCGAGGAGGAAGAUGACGGCGUCACGGCGUUUCAGAGCUUCUCGACGUCGAGCGACUGGCUUAGGAGCUUCAGGGAGCUUCGAGGAAGCUGUUGCGCGGAUCAGGAGAGAGGAAGAGAGGCUAGAGCGACUGCUAGCUCGAGCUCGAGCUCGCGAUCAUGGCGGCCGAGAGGGGGAGAGAGCAAGGGGCGAAUGGAGAGGGGGAGAGCUCAGGGAUGGAGCGGGGGAUCUUAUCCCUCCCCUCCAAUGCAUCAGGGCGAGGCAGCGAGCACAGAGGUGCGUGGGCGCACCGGGAGGAGCGGCGGCCACCUCCAGCGCCGACUGGCAGGAGGUAGACGACACGGGAAGGUGGGCUGGGCCAAGGUGAGCACUAGAUAGUGUUUUUGCAUUUUUUUUUCUUGCUUUAGUUUCUGUUUAUUCUUUCUUACAUUUGUCUUUAUUUAUUUUUAGCUCUAAAACCAAUUCAAAAAUAGUUUGAAAUAUACUGGGGUGUUAGUUGGAAUAUUCCCAACUACACAUAAAGUUUUCAGCAUUUUUGAAAACUUAAAUAUUUUUGAAACCAAAUAUAAAGUUGAAUUUAGUGAUUUUCUGAAUUAAAAUAAAAUGCCCAAAGUAGUUUGAAUAUAAGUUUCACCCCUGAUAUCUUGUUUUGUACAUUUAUCAGAAAAGGUGAACUUUUAUAAUGGCCAUUUUGGGUUCAUUGAUUUUGGCAAUAGUUGGAUUUCUUUUGAAUAAAGAGUGGCUAGGGUUUCGCUUUGUAUUUCACCACUUCUUUUGAGUUUAUUUCCAUUUCUGGAAUGCAAUGAAAGAAGACAUGAGCAAAAGUUGCUAAACCCUAUGUAGGGAAUUCCAGGGAUGUGACAUAAUAUAACAUAUACACCCUCUUUACACUAUUAAAAGACGUUUUGUGCAUAGCUAAUAAUAUAUCACACACUUGACUAUUUAAGCAAAAAACAUGAGCUGCGCCUUCAGACUUGGUGCUACUACAAGUGUUGAUUUUUGAAUUUGUACCUAAGCACAAGUUCAGUUCAUAUACAAAAAUAUAUUAUGUAUGUUUAUGCAUGACCAUGCAGAACUGAAGUGAAUAAUGUGGACGGUGACAUAUACCGAUUGACAUGGAAUAAUAUACUAUGCUGGUAGAUUUUCAAUCACGUGUCUAGAGGAGAAUUCACAGUUGUGUAAUUGCACAUGGUCAGCAAUGCUUUACCUCCACUAAGAAUGCAUAUUGCACACUUAACUAUUUUUAGCUAAACAUGAGGCACACCUUCAGACCUGCUACUACAAGAGUUGAGUCUGAAUUUCUUUUGUACCACAACAUAGGAUGAGCAGAGAGAGAGAGAGAUGACAGACCCAAGCUGCUGCUGAUUUGAUGGACAUGGACGAUGGUUGCACCAUAGAUUUUCUUUUUAAGAAAGCGUUCCUCUUUUCUCUGGUCAAAUCCUAGUCACCAUAGAAAAAUGAACAGGCCCAAAUCUAUUCAACAUGCUGUAAAGCAAUCUACUCUAAAAUCAGAGAGCAUGCAACAUAAAAAAAAGAUUAAACAAGAAACAUUUAGAUCUCCAUAGGCAUGAAGAUCGCCCCACCUCCCUUGCCUGUUUCUUGUCUUUCUCGUCCGUCUACACCUUCUCCUCCUUCCUCAUCCCCUUCUACUCAUUUUCUCUGGUCACGGAAUGGACCAAACUAAUGCCCCUAAAAACAAACCAUUCAGAUCAGAAAUUGUACAAGGGAUAAAUGAAAUUUUCUUCCCAAAUCAAGCGACGUAGAAGACCACCAGUGGCGGAGACGAGGCCGUGCCCCAAACCCUAACCACGGAUGGAUUGGGGGCGAGCGUUGGAGGCGUGGAGGGACGGGUCUGCUCGGAUGGAUCAACGCAGCACGACGAGGUGACCUCGGCAGCGUCCUGCACGCCGGCCAUGGCUGCCGGAGCUCGCCAAAGGCACGCAGGUGGCGGAGACGUGGUCGCACCCCAAACCCUAACCGCGUGGGGUGGAUUGGGCACGAGUAUUGUAGGCAGGGAUGGACGGAUCUGGGCGGAGGGAUCAACGCAACAUGGCUACAUGAGCUCGGCAACGUCCCGCGCGCCGGCCAUGGCUGCCGGAGCUCACCGACAAAGUCGUUGUCGUCGGCGGCUAACCCUAGGUCGCGUGAGGGGGCAGAGGAGAUGUGGCUGCGGGGAGAGUGUCUUCGACGCGGCCGGGUGGAAGUUUUCCUUUUGUUUAUUUACUUCCUUUUUUAUUCUCGUGGGAGAGCGUGGAGGCUUUCUUUAAUUGUUC